CAGCUGGAGUUUCACUUCUUUAUAUUGAUGUUGAGCAAUACUGUCAAACCUGUGAUGUUUGUGCUUCUAGAAAGCCAAGUCGGACCACAAAUAGGGCACCAUUGGGAAAUCAAACCACGGGUGGGCCAAUGGAACGUGUGUCAAUGGAUAUACUUGGUCCAUUGCCAACGACUGAAAUUGGCAAUCGGCAUGUUCUAGUGCUGGUUGAUGAGUUCACAAAAUGGACCGAAGCUUUUCCAUUGCAAAGCCAAGAAGCGGAAAGGGUAGGAAAUGUUUUUCUUGACCAAUUCAUUUGUAGGUUCGGCACCCCGUUGGAAAUACAUACUGAUCAAGGUACACAUUUUGAGUCCACGUUUUUAAAGGACCUGUGUGAAUUAUUAAAAAUCAACAAAACUAGAACCACUAGUUUCAGACCCCAGACAAAUGGUACCGUCGAGAUAGCAACUCGGACGAUCACGAAGAUGCUUUCAGCAUACUGCAGUAAAAACCAAACUAGUUGGGACAGUUUACUCCCACAAGUAAUGGUGGCAUAUAGGGCAACGCCACAUUCUACGACUUCGCUGUCACCAAAUGUAAUGGUGUUCGGGAGAAAUGUUGCUCUUCCAUGUGAACUGGAAACUGGAGUAGCUGAGAAGAGUGCUCAAACCAUAGAGGAAUAUUCGCUUAUACAGCGUAUGAACAUUGAAAAAGCGCAUGACAUAGCUCGGGAACACUUGAAAAAAACAUUCAACAUACCGAAAGAAGUAUUAUGACCGAAAGGCUCAAUUCAGGGACCUACCAGAGAAAUCAGCAGUGUGGAUGCACGACCCGACAAGUAGAGUUGGCGUUUGUAGCAAAUUAAAUAGUAGAUGGAUUGGGCCAUUUAUGAUUGAGAAGCGCAUUGAUGACAUGGUUUACCUGGUUCGCACUUCUCCAAACAAACAACCAAAAUCUGUGCACAUUGAUCGGCUUUUGCCUUAUCGUGACUUCAAGAAACCAAAGUGGAUGGUUUAAUACAUAUGCAUCGAGCCAUGAGAAAACCAGCACAAAUGACAUCGACGACGUCAUUGGCAAAUCGUCAUUUUCAUUACGUCAUAAUUUUCUGCGAAAAAUUGAUUUGCAUUUGUGCGUGAGAUAUUUGUGUACAUGUGUGUUUGAUUUCGUUUGAAAGUUAAAAACUUAUGGAAUGGAUGCCGAACUUGAGGUCACGCACGUUGUCACGUAGACAGCGGGUUUGCUGUGUUAAAAAGGCCUACAGACGAAGCGACGUAGAGACGAGUUAAAAUUUACAAAUAAAAAAUAAUUAUUUCGUACAUAAUACUGUAUAGACUUUUAGUAAUUUUGAUGAAAGAACUUACCGGUAGUUUUUUCCUUGGUUCUCGACGUAUCUGGAAAUUAAAUUAAACAAAUUUUUAUCUAUUACGAAAAAAAGGCAAUAGCUUCCCCUCAUUGGACCCCUACACAUUGCACCAACAUGGUGUCUCUAUGGAAUCGCUCAUUAAUAACACGGGUAAAUUAUGUGAAGAAUAAAAUACACAUAUUCAUUUGAAUAGCAUUGAACUGAUUAAACCGCAUUUUCAAACAUAUGUGUGCAUCACACGUAUAAGUGGCGAAUAUUUAUGCAUCUUUGAUAUAAUUAUAACCAAGGAACAUUUUUUUUCACAAUGCACAUGUCAAAAGCAUUAACAUUGAGUUCACCCAAACAUUUUUGGAACAGUCGUUGUGUUCGUCAACGUCAUUUAGACUGUGGAUGUCGAAGUGGACAGUCGUAUUUUGUUGCUUGAAAUUUAAAGCAUGGAGUUUUUAAGUGUUUGUACUUACUGUCUUGAACGGUUUCCGCCACACCGAAGUAAUAAUAUCCAGCAUGGGCAGACUCAGGAAACUCGGCGAUGGAGGAGUAGCCGCUACAACGAUUUGGAUUUAUUAGAAACGCGGGAAUGUGUUAGGAGUGUAACUGAUAUUGUUUCGAAAAUGAUUGGAAAGGAUCUAAUUUAUCAACGACAAUGGAUAAUGAAUAGCACAAGUAUCGAAUUUGAACAAACCGAUGAGGGUAUCUGCGUCGUCCACGAUGCCAUGGAACGAGGCCGAGUUGGUGAAGAGACUCGCCCCCGCCUGCGAGGUUUGUGACAUCUCUGGCAAUGGCCGUCCUCCCCCCGUAGCGGCAGCAUGGUUCCGCUCCUUUGAAACCUCUGAUUUUGCGUGUUUUGUCUAAAAUAAAUAUAACAUAAAUGGAUACAUUUCAUUUCGCCUUUUGAAAUUCUUCGAUAUUCUGGCAUUGAUAGGUGAAUUGUAGAUCUAUGAAUUGAAAAAAAAACGUGUUAUUACUAAGGCAGUCGAGGGUUCGAGCCCACCACCGCGAAAUAUAUUCCUAAGUGCUUAAUUUUGUCGUACGUUAAAUCAUUUUCACUCGUUAAAUGGAAAUUGUCUAUUUUAUAUAAAUUUCUAAUGAAAGACAUACUAAUUCUAAAUUUACCAUGUUUCGCCACUUUUCUUUGACUUGUUGAAUGGUCCUGGGGCCAUUUCCACAGGCAUUUACGUUUUCUAAAAGUUAAUUCCAAAUGUCUCUCACUCGAGCAACCAUGCCCGGACCGCCCGAGCGGCAUGGUCCCGUCACAUGAACGACGCAAGCCGGGUACCACUCUGCAGGGGGGCGUGGCACCGGAUGUCACUGGCACUACACUUUGUUCAGGUUUAUCAUACAAUUUGACCACAUAUAGCACAGGAACUGCCAUGAGCCCACUAAAUGGUGUAUAUAUAUAUAGGCACCAUAUCCAUGGACAAUGAAACCCACGAGAUUAACCUUCACCUUCAAGAGGUUAUGCAAUCAGUGCAUCCUUCAGAUAAUGUGGAAGGAUUGUCUUGUCCUGGCCCAUGCCAUCCAUAAUGAUUGACAGGUAUCUGCAAGGGCUGAGGUUUGCCGUCUGAGCAUGCUUGUAAUACUUUUGGCGUUCUUGGCUAAAAGAACAAAAAUUACAUAGCGUUUGCUUGUCAAAUUUCAAGGCUAGUCCAACAUAUAUUUAACGUAUCUCCGCAUGUUUCCAGAAUUCCGGUUCAGUGCGAAAGAGAGGUAAAACAUUAUAUCAGUUUCACAUUAAUAUUAAGCUUUGUUAAAACUUAAAUAGUACAUUUCAAAUUAAAAAUUUUGUACAAAUCACAACUAAUGUUUUCUUGGCAAAGUUUUCUUUUUUACUGUUAAAUUACCCUGAUUAAACACUGCUGAAUUACAAUGCUACAUUUUGUAAAUACAUUUUGAUUCCCCCAGGGGAUUUUUGCAUUGACACCAUGCAUCCACUUCAAACACUGAGUGGAAACCAUAUGGUUGCUACAAUGAAGGAUCUGCUUAGAGAAGAAGCUGACAAUCGAUAUUGUUUAUUGAAAGGAAAUGGCAUGUUACUAUACUGUUACCAUUCAGAGGAGGGAUACCUUUUACUCAUUCAUUAUUUCAAGUGAUAUUUUAUUCAUCUUAGAGCCGGACCAUUAUGCAGGAUGGGAAGAGACGGGGUUUUGUGGAGAGGUCUGGGAAGGCAGCUCUUCCCAAAAAACUGCAGUUGACAGUUUUGGAGGAGAAGUUAGUCAUAUUGUAAACAUUACCAAUUGCAAAUAUAAAUAUGAUGCAGAUCAAGCAUUUGUCCGUGGUUCAUAUUAUUAUUUUAAUUUUGCAAAAACAACCUUUUUCAGAUUGAUGUAUAGUUGUUCACUUUGUCCAGCUCUUGUCCUUAGUGCCCAAAACAAGACUGGUAGGUGUGCAAGGUGGAGGGGCCGAUACUGGUCUACUCAAGAGACCCAUGCACGAAAAUAACGGGAACAAGGAGAGGGAACCUUUCAAAACCUCCUACCGCCCCAAAAGGCAACAUAAGGAUGAGCAAAGACAACUGCGCGUUUGAAGUGCGCGUGGAGUUUAAGAAGAAGACGCUUUCGCCCACAUUGAAAGACAAUCGGCUCCUUGAGGAAGAAAUACGCCAGACGUUUGCCUUCAUUGAGGCAAGGACGAGGGCAAAAACACGCACCAGGAAGAUAGCCGCUAAACGCGCUGCUAGACUGACUUCCCAAAAAUAAUCGGAAGGAGAGUCCGAGAACCGUAAAAUACCUCACAUACAAAUUGUGGACGAUAGAUGCAUCGGAGGCAUCGAUGACGGCCAUUCAGUGGAUAGAGUGGGCGGUCGAGAAAGGCAUAAGAGCAAAUACACAGGGAGUGUAUAUCUGGAGCGAGCCAGAGGACGACGGGGUUGAGACGCCGGCCAUCAUGGAGGAGACGCCCGCCAUGCAGGCCGCCAUUUCACCGGCACCCACGUCUGUCAGGUUAAGGUUGUAAGGUUCGUCUAGGCCGUCAUCCAGGGCGUCCGACCUGUCCAAUUCGUCCAGGUCGUCCGACCUGUCCAGAUCGUCCAGGCCGUCUAGGUCGUCGAGAUCGUCCCGAGCGCCCAGGUCGUCGAGUUCGUCAAUGUCGUCCAGAGCGUCUACGUCGUCCAGCUCCCUGUCGAGGUCGUCCAGUUCGGACUCGGAAUACGUCCCGUUUGAGGCCGUCACCUCCGCCUCCUCCGACGAGGAUGUCCCUCUGGUGGCUCCGCCGGUCCCUGUGGUGGCUCGAGUGGUCCCUCUGGUGGCUUUGCCAUCACCCAGGCCUGAGAGGCGAAUGAGAAAUAUGAUUACGGAGGCGGACGAACUUGCCAUAAACAUGGUAUUCGCAGAGGACAUUGUCUCGACGUCCUUGUCAGGCAAGAGUAUAGGCAUCGAAGUCGUGAGACGAAACUACAACCGGGCGACCAAGGGCCGUUUGGGCUUUGAGCAGGUUCGAGCAAAGAUCCGAAACCUGGCCAAGGCUCGUGCAGCUCGCCUGGCGGCAGGCCCUAUGUAGAGCCCUAGUCCGGCUGAUAUUUCUUAUAUGUUUUUUUAUAUGCUUUUAUGUCUUUGUUUAACUGAAUAUGUAUUAGUAUACAUUGUAAGUACUGGUUCAACCCAGGAAAAUACUUGAUUAUCUGUAAAUGUUUUUAUAUGCUUUUAUGUCUUUAUUUAAAUGAAUAUGUAUUAGUAUACAUUGUAAGUACUGGUUCAACCCAGGAAAAUACUUGAUUAUUUGUAAAUGUUUUUAUAUGCUUCUAUGUCUUUAUUUAAAUGAAUAUGUAUUAGUAUACAUUGUAAGGACUGGUUCAACCCAGGAAAAUACUUGAUUAUUUGUUAAUGUUUUUAUGUCUUUAUUUUAAUGAAUAUAUAUUAGUAUGCAUUGUAAGUACUGGUUCUACCCAGGAACAUACUUGAUUAUUUGUUAAGGUUUGUUAUAUAUGAUUUUUAUAUCUUUGUUUAAAUGAAUAUGUAUUAGUAUACAUUGUAGGUACUGAUUCAACCCAGGAAAAUGCGUGAUUUUUUGUUUCCUUUUUAUACAUGAUCAUUGAUAAGUACUGGUUAUAUUUACUACCCAGGAUUUUUGUCUGAAAAUAA
Molecule: long non-coding RNA, 5415 nt
Organism: Dreissena polymorpha
Lineage: Eukaryota; Metazoa; Mollusca; Bivalvia; Myida; Dreissenidae
Exons: 7
Source: RefSeq, a predicted model, not a curated record